This 429-nucleotide ribosomal RNA is filed under the name Chloroflexota bacterium. RNAcentral's name for it is "Chloroflexi bacterium partial 16S ribosomal RNA". It matches the Rfam family "Bacterial small subunit ribosomal RNA", at positions 355 to 776 of the family's 1533-position model. The record is from RNAcentral. Lineage: Bacteria; Bacillati; Chloroflexota.
UGGGGAAUAUUGCACAAUGGGCGCAAGCCUGAUGCAGCCAUGCCGCUUGUAUGAAGAAGGCCUUCGGGUUGUAAAGUACUUUUAGCGGGGAGGAAGGGAGUAAAGUUAAUACCUUUGCUCACGGACGAUACCCGCAGAAGAAGCACCGGCUAACUCCGUGCCAGCAGCCGCGGGAAUAUGGAGGGUGCAAGCGUUCAUCGGAAUUACUGGGGGUAAAGCGCACGCAGGCGGUUUGUUAAGUCAGAUGUGAAAUCCCCGGGCUCAACCUGGGAAUUGCGUCUGAGACUGGCAAGCUUGAGUCUCGUAGAGGGGGGUAGAAUUCCAGGUGUAGCGGUGAAAUGCGUAGAGAUCUGGAGGAAUACCGGUGGCGAAGGCGGCCCCCUGGACAAAAACUGACGCUCAGGUGCGAAAGCGUGGGGAGCAAACAGG